This 1052-nucleotide ribosomal RNA is filed under the name Lactobacillus helveticus. RNAcentral's name for it is "bacterial SSU rRNA". It matches the Rfam family "Bacterial small subunit ribosomal RNA", at positions 84 to 1121 of the family's 1533-position model. Lineage: Bacteria; Bacillati; Bacillota; Bacilli; Lactobacillales; Lactobacillaceae. The record is from RNAcentral.
UGGGGACGCGAGCGGCGGAUGGGUGAGUAACACGUGGGGAACCUGCCCCAUAGUCUGGGAUACCACUUGGAAACAGGUGCUAAUACCGGGUAAGAAAGCAGAUCGCAUGAUCAGCUUAUAAAAGACGGCGUAAGCUGUCGCUAUGGGAUGGCCCCGCGGUGCAUUAGCUAGUUGGCAAGGUAACGGCUUACCAAGGCAAUGAUGCAUAGCCGAGUUGAGAGACUGAUCGGCCACAUUGGGACUGAGACACGGCCCAAACUCCUACGGGAGGCAGCAGUAGGGAAUCUUCCACAAUGGACGCAAGUCUGAUGGAGCAACGCCGCGUGAGUGAAGAAGGUUUUCGGAUCGUAAAGCUCUGUUGUUGGUGAAGAAGGAUAGAGGUAGUAACUGGCCUUUAUUUGACGGUAAUCAACCAGAAAGUCACGGCUAACUACGUGCCAGCAGCCGCGGUAAUACGUAGGUGGCAAGCGUUGUCCGGAUUUAUUGGGCGUAAAGCGAGCGCAGGCGGAAGAAUAAGUCUGAUGUGAAAGCCCUCGGCUUAACCGAGGAACUGCAUCGGAAACUGUUUUUCUUGAGUGCAGAAGAGGAGAGUGGAACUCCAUGUGUAGCGGUGGAAUGCGUAGAUAUAUGGAAGAACACCAGUGGCGAAGGCGACUCUCUGGUCUGCAACUGACGCUGAGGCUCGAAAGCAUGGGUAGCGAACAGGAUUAGAUACCCUGGUAGUCCAUGCCGUAAACGAUGAGUGCUAAGUGUUGGGAGGUUUCCGCCUCUCAGUGCUGCAGCUAACGCAUUAAGCACUCCGCCUGGGGAGUACGACCGCAAGGUUGAAACUCAAAGGAAUUGACGGGGGCCCGCACAAGCGGUGGAGCAUGUGGUUUAAUUCGAAGCAACGCGAAGAACCUUACCAGGUCUUGACAUCUAGUGCCAUCCUAAGAGAUUAGGAGUUCCCUUCGGGGACGCUAAGACAGGUGGUGCAUGGCUGUCGUCAGCUCGUGUCGUGAGAUGUUGGGUUAAGUCCCGCAACGAGCGCAACCCUUAUUAUUAGUUGCCAG